AACGAACGCUGGCGGCAGGCCUAACACAUGCAAGUCGAGCGCCCUUUCGGGGGAGCGGCGGCCGGGUGAGUAAGCCGUGGGAAUAUGCCCUUCUCUACGGAUUAGCCUCGGGAAACUGAGAGUAAUACCGUAUACGCCCUGUGGGGGAAAGAUUUAUCGGGGAAGGAUUAGCCCGCGUUGGCUUGGGUAGUUGGUGGGGUAAUGGCCUACCAAGCCGACGAUCCAUAGCUGGUUUGGGAGGAUGAUCAGCCACCCUGGGACUGAGACACGGCCCCGACUCCUACGGGAGGCAGCAGUGGGGAAUCUUAGACAAUGGGGGCAACCCUGAUCUAGCCAUGCCGCGUGAGUGAUGAAGGCCUUAGGGUUGUAAAGCUCUUUCAGCUGGGAAGAUAAUGACGGUACCAGCAGAAGAAGCCCCGGCUAACUCCGUG
This 431-nucleotide ribosomal RNA is filed under the name uncultured bacterium. RNAcentral's name for it is "partial 16S ribosomal RNA". It matches the Rfam family "Bacterial small subunit ribosomal RNA", at positions 29 to 507 of the family's 1533-position model. The record is from RNAcentral.